This 759-nucleotide ribosomal RNA is filed under the name uncultured cyanobacterium. RNAcentral describes it as "bacterial SSU rRNA". It matches the Rfam family "Bacterial small subunit ribosomal RNA", at positions 28 to 829 of the family's 1533-position model. The record is from RNAcentral. Lineage: Bacteria; Bacillati; Cyanobacteriota.
GAUGAACGCUGGCGGUAUGCUUAACACAUGCAAGUCGAACGGAUGUUUUCGGACAUUAGUGGCGGACGGGUGAGUAACGCGUGAGAAUCUAGCUUCAGGUUGGGGACAACAGUUGGAAACGACUGCUAAUACUGAAUAUGCCGAGAGGUGAAAGAUUAAUUGCCUGAAGAAGAGCUCGCGUCUGAUUAGCUAGUUGGUGGGGUAAGAGCUUACCAAGGCGACGAUCGGUAGCUGGUCUGAGAGGACGAUCAGCCACACUGGGACUGAGACACGGCCCAGACUCCUACGGGAGGCAGCAGUGGGGAAUUUUCCGCAAUGGGCGAAAGCCUGACGGAGCAAUACCGCGUGAGGGAAGAAGGCUCUUGGGUUGUAAACCUCUUUUCUUAGGGAAGAAAAAAAUGACGGUACCUAAGGAAUAAGCAUCGGCUAACUCCGUGCCAGCAGCCGCGGUAAUACGGAGGAUGCAAGCGUUAUCCGGAAUGAUUGGGCGUAAAGCGUCCGCAGGUGGUUUAUCAAGUUUGCGGUUAAAGGUUCUGGCUCAACCAGAGACAGGCCGUGAAAACUGAUAGACUAGAGUAUGGUAGGGGCAGAGGGAAUUCCCAGUGUAGCGGUGAAAUGCGUAGAGAUUGGGAAGAACACCGGUGGCGAAAGCGCUCUGCUAGGCCAAAACUGACACUGAGGGACGAAAGCUAGGGGAGCGAAUGGGAUUAGAUACCCCAGUAGUCCUAGCCGUAAACGAUGGAUACUAGGUGUAGCUUG